RNAcentral lists this ribosomal RNA (402 nucleotides) under uncultured Streptococcus sp. Its description in RNAcentral is "bacterial SSU rRNA". It matches the Rfam family "Bacterial small subunit ribosomal RNA", at positions 28 to 412 of the family's 1533-position model. Lineage: Bacteria; Bacillati; Bacillota; Bacilli; Lactobacillales; Streptococcaceae. The record is from RNAcentral.
GACGAACGCUGGCGGCGUGCCUAAUACAUGCAAGUAGAACGCACAGUUUAUACCGUAGCUUGCUACACCAUAGACUGUGAGUUGCGAACGGGUGAGUAACGCGUAGAUAACCUGCCUGGUAGCGGGGGAUAACUAUUGGAAACGAUAGCUAAUACCGCAUAAUAUUAAUUAUUGCAUGAUAAUUGAUUGAAAGGUGCAAAUGCAUCACUACCAGAUGGACCUGCGUUGUAUUAGCUAGUAGGUGAGGUAACGGCUCACCUAGGCGACGAUACAUAGCCGACCUGAAAGGGUGAACGGCCACACUGGGACUGAAACACGGCCCACACUCCCACGGGAGGUAGCAUUUGGGAAUCUUUGGAAAUGGACGAAACCCUGAACCACCCACGCCGCGGGAGUGCCUAA